GCACCGUUCCACUUUUAUUUUACUCCAUGAAGGAAGGACUACAAAAUGGGGAAGGUUUGAUACAGGGCAGCCAUUAUCCCUUGAGCAUACCAGCACAUACACAGGAGCCCUACCCAGUUGGCAUGACAACCUUGAUGGUCCCAGACAGAAGACCAUCAAGGUCACAAAGGACUUGCAUAUGGGAGUGGAUUCAACACGGACUAGAACAAAGGACAAUGAUCAGAUCUUCCCUCUGGGGGCAGGAAACUGCCAACUCCCCUUUGUCCUCUCGAAAUGACUCAUGGGGAGGGGGAAAGGAGGAACCAGCGAGGUGACAAGAUAUUCAGGUUACCUCCACAACUCCUCCCUCAACCCCUCCUUUUUGUGAUGUGUCAAUGAUGUAGUCAUGAUGUAGUUGUGAUGUAGUUCUAGGGGUGUAGUUUGGGGGAUUAGUAACUGAUAAAAGUUGGGGUCUUCUUUUGUUCUGGGCUUCCAUUUUGUUUCACCUGGUGGCAGGUGGGAGUCCUGUCGCGAUAGUCUUAAAUAGCCUACUGGCUGCUGUUUUGCUCUGAUAGUUCUGGCUGGUGUCCUUGUUUUUUUUGUCCAAGGGAGCCCUCAGAUUCCUCCGUUAACACCCUAAACAUUAUUUUUAGAAGGAAGGAAAGCGCUGAGUAAGGGAAUAUAUAGAAAGCCUUUUUCUUUUCUUUUCUUUUCUUUGUGGUUUUUAAUUCUGAAAAUGCAAAGACGGUGGGUUUUUUUAGAGGAAGGUAUUUACAUAGGGUUUUUGAAUAUCAUGGUUGUAUGCAAAAUAAUUUUUAAUUAAAUUUUUUCUAAGCCACACAGAAAACCUCGUGCUACGCAGCAGCAUGCAAAUGCCAACAACACAAUUAAAGGAAGAGGAAGUAAAGAGGAAUAAAUUUCACACUGUGACAUAAUGAGCACAUGAUAAUCUGUUCCCCCUUACAUGAUUUUGGUUAUUUUUGCUACGGAUUUGCAAAUGCCAAAAGAGGAGGCUUGCAACAACAACACAGUGAAAAUUUCUGGGACUUCACACAGAGCAGACACUGUCCACAGCUGGACUGACGGUUGUGUAUUUAGUGGCUUCACUGCUUCUCCGGUUAAGUUUUUUUAUUGCUGUUUUGGGGAAACAGCUAUAAAAAAUACCAACAGAAUAAACCGAGUCCUCUUAAAGGAACUCUCUUGACCCUUACCCACCCAUAGAAGGCAUGCCACUUUGAGUUACUUGGGGGGAAAGUUCAGGAAAAUUGGUCAGCAUUUUGGUUCCCGUGGGUGGCGCUGUGGGUUAAACCACAGAGCCUAGGACUUGCCGAUCAGAAGGUCGGCGGUUUGAAUGCCCGUGACGGGGUGAGCUCCUGUUGCUCGGUCCCUGCUCCUGCCAACCUAGCAGUUCGAAAGCACGUCAAA
Molecule: non-coding RNA, 1404 nt
Organism: Podarcis lilfordi (Lilford's wall lizard)
Lineage: Eukaryota; Metazoa; Chordata; Lepidosauria; Squamata; Lacertidae
Source: the annotation of a GenBank genome assembly